CCUACGGGGGGCAGCAGUGAGGAAUAUUGGUCAAUGGGCGGAAGCCUGAACCAGCCAAGUCGCGUGAGGGAUGAAGGUUCUAUGGAUCGUAAACCUCUUUUAUAAGGGAAUAAAGUGUGGGACGUGUCCUAUUUUGUAUGUACCUUAUGAAUAAGGAUCGGCUAACUCCGUGCCAGCAGCCGCGGUAAGACGGAGGAUCCGAGCGUUAUCCGGAUUUAUUGGGUUUAAAGGGGGCGUAGGCGGCCUUUUAAGUCAGCGGUGAAAGUCUGUGGCUCAACCAUAGAAUUGCCGGUGGAACGGGGGGGCUUGAGUAUGUUUGAGGCAGGCGGAAUGCGUGGUGUAGCGGUGAAAUGCUUAGUUAUCACGCAGAACCCCGAUUGCGAAGGCAGCCUGCCAAGCCAUGACUGACGCUGAUGCACGAAAGCGUGGGGAUCAAACAGGAUUAGAUACCCUGUAGUC
RNAcentral lists this ribosomal RNA (459 nucleotides) under uncultured bacterium. RNAcentral describes it as "partial 16S ribosomal RNA". It matches the Rfam family "Bacterial small subunit ribosomal RNA", at positions 338 to 795 of the family's 1533-position model. The record is from RNAcentral.